UUGGAGUCUCAGUUUAGAGGGUUAUAAGUGGUUUGGCUUGCGGCAUUUAGUGGAGCUAGUGAAGGAUUUGGCAAUUGUGGCCAUGUUUCGGGAGUAACGGUGGCGGAGGAAUUUCUAUCAUGUCCACUUGAUGAAACAUGUCGAGGAGUAGAAGGACGAGAGUUCCUUUGACUCUCCACUUGUUCUAACCUCCCACUAAUAGUCAUCACUUCUCCC
Molecule: long non-coding RNA, 216 nt
Filed under: Capsicum annuum
Lineage: Eukaryota; Viridiplantae; Streptophyta; Magnoliopsida; Solanales; Solanaceae
Description: long non-coding RNA (CANN_LNC022362)
Source: RNAcentral